ACUAUCUUAUAUUUGUUCCUUCCCUCCCACCGUUGAUAGUAUUUGAUUUGUUUGUUCAACAAGCAUUUAUAAAAUAUUAUGUGCCAAGCAGUGGAUAAAUCAUGUUUAUAUUUUGUCAAGGAGAUCAUUGCCUAGAAGGGAGGAAACAAUUGUAGUCCAGUGUGAUAGGUGUUGGGCAUUAACUGUAUAUAAAAUGCUCAGAGUGAACACAGGGAAGGAAACGAUUAUUUAUCCUGAAGGUGGAGAUAUAUACUAACCAAAUUAUAGAGGGCCUUGGGAAAGAGGAGGUUAUUCAUGAAUCAGUUGUACUGCUUAGAAAGAUCACCCUGGUUCAGUGUGGAUGAUACUGGCAACGAAGGGAAGAGGCAGAGAGACGAAAAGAAAAGUGACUGCAGUAGGCUAGGUGAAAGGUGAUGAAAGCCGACACUUGGGCAGCAGCUAUGGAGAUACAGAAGACAUGAUAGAGACAAUAUAAUUGGUAAUUAAGUAUUAGAGGGAAAGUGGAAUAAAAAUCUUUUU
Molecule: long non-coding RNA, 519 nt
Organism: Sapajus apella (tufted capuchin)
Lineage: Eukaryota; Metazoa; Chordata; Mammalia; Primates; Cebidae
Exons: 2
Source: RefSeq, a predicted model, not a curated record